RNAcentral lists this ribosomal RNA (465 nucleotides) under Vreelandella stevensii. RNAcentral's name for it is "partial 16S ribosomal RNA". It matches the Rfam family "Bacterial small subunit ribosomal RNA", at positions 338 to 795 of the family's 1533-position model. Lineage: Bacteria; Pseudomonadati; Pseudomonadota; Gammaproteobacteria; Oceanospirillales; Halomonadaceae. The record is from RNAcentral.
CCUACGGGGGGCAGCAGUGGGGAAUAUUGGACAAUGGGGGCAACCCUGAUCCAGCCAUGCCGCGUGUGUGAAGAAGGCCCUCGGGUUGUAAAGCACUUUCAGUGAGGAAGAACGCCUGGUGGUUAAUACCCAUCAGGAAAGACAUCACUCACAGAAGAAGCACCGGCUAACUCCGUGCCAGCAGCCGCGGUAAUACGGAGGGUGCGAGCGUUAAUCGGAAUUACUGGGCGUAAAGCGCGCGUAGGUGGCUUGAUAAGCCGGUUGUGAAAGCCCCGGGCUCAACCUGGGAACGGCAGCCGGAACUGUCAAGCUAGAGUGCAGGAGAGGAAGGUAGAAUUCCCGGUGUAGCGGUGAAAUGCGUAGAGAUCGGGAGGAAUACCAGUGGCGAAGGCGGCCUUCUGGACUGACACUGACACUGAGGUGCGAAAGCGUGGGUAGCAAACAGGAUUAGAUACCCUUGUAGUC